RNAcentral lists this small nuclear RNA (102 nucleotides) under Echinops telfairi (small Madagascar hedgehog). RNAcentral's name for it is "U2 spliceosomal RNA (ENSETEG00000026486.1)". The stretch from base 1 to 72 matches the Rfam family "U2 spliceosomal RNA". Rfam says of the family: U2 is a small nuclear RNA (snRNA) component of the spliceosome (involved in pre-mRNA splicing). Complementary binding between U2 snRNA (in an area lying towards the 5' end but 3' to hairpin I) and the branchpoint sequence (BPS) of the intron results the bulging out of an unpaired adenosine, on the BPS, which initiates a nucleophilic attack at the intronic 5' splice site, thus starting the first of two transesterification reactions that mediate splicing. Lineage: Eukaryota; Metazoa; Chordata; Mammalia; Afrosoricida; Tenrecidae. The record is from RNAcentral.
AUCACUUCUCGGCCUUUUGGCUAAGAUCAAGUGUAGUAUCUGAGGAGCGGGACAUCACCUUGGAGACGCAAAGGGGUUGCUGGGGAUGGGAAGGCACCCCGA